GACGAACGCUGGCGGCGUGCUUAACACAUGCAAGUCGAACGGAAAGGCCCUGCUUUUGUGGGGUGCUCGAGUGGCGAACGGGUGAGUAACACGUGAGUAACCUGCCCUUGACUUUGGGAUAACUUCAGGAAACUGGGGCUAAUACCGGAUAGGAGCUCCUGCUGCAUGGUGGGGGUUGGAAAGUUUCGGCGGUUGGGGUUGGACUCGCGGCUUAUCAGCUUGUUGGUGGGGUAGUGGCUUACCAAGGCAUUGACGGGUAGCCGGCCUGAGAGGGUGACCGGCCACAUUGGGACUGCGAUACGGCCCAGACUCCUACGUGAGGCAGCAGUGGGGAAUAUGGCACAGUGGGCGGAAGCCUGAUGCAGCAGCGCCGCGUGCGGGAUGACGGCCUUCGGGUUGUAAACCGCUUUCGCCUGUGACGAAGCGUGAGUGACGGUAAUGGGUAAAGAAGCACCGGCUAACUACGUG
This 468-nucleotide ribosomal RNA is filed under the name uncultured bacterium. RNAcentral describes it as "partial 16S ribosomal RNA". It matches the Rfam family "Bacterial small subunit ribosomal RNA", at positions 28 to 507 of the family's 1533-position model. The record is from RNAcentral.